UACGAGUGCCUCAAGCGUUAUCCGGAAUUACUGGGCGUAAAGGGCGCGUAGGCGGCGUGUCAAGUCAGGCGUGAAAGCCCCGGGCUCAACCUGGGAACCGCGCUUGAGACUGGCAUGCUCGAGUUCGGGAGAGGAUGGUGGAAUUCCCAGUGUAGAGGUGAAAUUCGUAGAUAUUGGGAAGAACACCGAUGGCGAAGGCAGCCAUCUGGACCGACACUGACGCUGAGGCGCGAAAGCGUGGGGAGCAAACAGG
This 253-nucleotide ribosomal RNA is filed under the name uncultured bacterium. Its description in RNAcentral is "partial 16S ribosomal RNA". It matches the Rfam family "Bacterial small subunit ribosomal RNA", at positions 524 to 776 of the family's 1533-position model. The record is from RNAcentral.